AUUGAACGCUGGCGGCAGGCCUAACACAUGCAAGUCGAGCGGAUGAAGGGAGCUUGCUCCUGGAUUCAGCGGCGGACGGGUGAGUAAUGCCUAGGAAUCUGCCUGGUAGUGGGGGAUAACGUCCGGAAACGGGCGCUAAUACCACAUACGUCCUGAGGGAGAAAGUGGGGGAUCUUCGGACCUCACGCUAUCAGAUGAGCCUAGGUCCGAUUAGCUAGUUGGUGGGGUAAAGGCCUACCAAGGCGACGAUCCGUAACUGGUCUGAGAGGAUGAUCAGUCACACUGGAACUGAGACACGGUCCAGACUCCUACGGGAGGCAGCAGUGGGGAAUAUUGGACAAUGGGCGAAAGCCUGAUCCAGCCAUGCCGCGUGUGUGAAGAAGGUCUUCGGAUUGUAAAGCACUUUAAGUUGGGAGGAAGGGCAGUAAGUUAAUACCUUGCUGUUUUGACGUUACCAACAGAAUAAGCACCGGCUAACUUCGUG
This 484-nucleotide ribosomal RNA is filed under the name uncultured bacterium. RNAcentral describes it as "partial 16S ribosomal RNA". It matches the Rfam family "Bacterial small subunit ribosomal RNA", at positions 30 to 507 of the family's 1533-position model. The record is from RNAcentral.